Molecule: unclassified non-coding RNA, 20 nt
Filed under: Mus musculus (house mouse)
Lineage: Eukaryota; Metazoa; Chordata; Mammalia; Rodentia; Muridae
Description: oocyte_clustered_small_RNA7401
Source: RNAcentral
GAGUCUAAUGAGGUGCAGCA